CAUUAGUUGCCACCAUUUGGUUGGCACUCUAAUGAGACUGCCGGUGACAAACCGGAGGAAGGUGGGGAUGACGUCAAGUCCUCAUGGCCCUUAUGGGUAGGGCUUCACACGUCAUACAAUGGUCGGUACAGAGGGUUGCCAACCCGCGAGGGGGAGCUAAUCCCACAAAGCCGAUCGUAGUCCGGAUCGCAGUCUGCAACUCGACUGCGUGAAGUCGGAAUCGCUAGUAAUCGUGGAUCAGCAUGUCACGGUGAAUACGUUCCCGGGUCUU
RNAcentral lists this ribosomal RNA (271 nucleotides) under uncultured Rhodocyclaceae bacterium. RNAcentral's name for it is "partial 16S ribosomal RNA". It matches the Rfam family "Bacterial small subunit ribosomal RNA", at positions 1109 to 1382 of the family's 1533-position model. The record is from RNAcentral. Lineage: Bacteria; Pseudomonadati; Pseudomonadota; Betaproteobacteria; Rhodocyclales; Rhodocyclaceae.